Molecule: unclassified non-coding RNA, 267 nt
Filed under: uncultured fungus
Lineage: Eukaryota; Fungi
Description: partial contains 5.8S ribosomal RNA, internal transcribed spacer 2, and large subunit ribosomal RNA
Source: RNAcentral
AACGCACAUUGCGCCCCCUGGCAUUCCGGGGGGCAUGCCUGUCCGAGCGUCAUUUCUGCCCUCCAGCACGGCUGGGUGUUGGGCGCUGUCCCCCCGGGGACACGCCCCAAAGGCAGUGGCGGCGCCGCGUCGGGUCCUCGAGCGUAUGGGGCUCUGUCACCCGCUCGGGAGGGACUCGGUCGGCGCUGGUCUUCCCCCAGGCGGCCCUUUCGGGCUCGUCUCCUUCCGGUUGACCUCGGAUCAGGUAGGGCUACCCGCUGAACUUAA